Molecule: long non-coding RNA, 1685 nt
Organism: Sarcophilus harrisii (Tasmanian devil)
Lineage: Eukaryota; Metazoa; Chordata; Mammalia; Dasyuromorphia; Dasyuridae
Source: Ensembl
ACCGACUUCCUAUUGGUUGGGAGGCUAGCGGGUAAUUUGCAAAGGGGCGGGGCCUGCGGGGCGGGGCGGAAGGCUGGGUACGCGGGGCGGCGGCGGCGGCGGCGGCGGCGGCGGAGCGCGGGCUGGCGGGUCGGGGCACCGGGGCCCGGAGGCCUGGGGGCCCCUAGGGGGUAUCUCGGGGCCCGGGGGCCAGGGAGACGUUGGUCCCGGGCCGACCCAGCCCUGGCGGCUCGGAUCCGGCCUUGGGAAACUCCACGGUGGCGCCAGCGGGAGCGGGGCCGCCGCAGCCGAGCCCCCCAGAGCGGAGCCGGGCUCCGAGGAUGUCCGCUCCGGGCUGCCGGGCUCGGGACUUGGAGCUCUGAACUCCAGCGCCCGAGCCAGACGCUCACCGCUUGCGCCCCGGGGGCGGGCAGGGUGGGGGAGGGCGGCGUGCAGGCUGCGGACUCGGGUUCCAGCCCUUGGGCUCUGGGCUCUAGCUUCCGCGCGCGGUGCCAGGCUCGGGCUCCGGGCUGCAGCGCUCGGGCUGGGGCUCGCCUUGUGCGCUUCCCGGUGCCAGCGCUGGGGCUCGGGACUGCAGCGCUGCGAGCUCUGGUUGCAGGGCUCAGUCUGUCUCCUGGGCUCCGCGGUGCCCGGCUCGGGCGCCGGCGCUUGGGCUCUAGCGCUCCUGCUUGGAUUCGUCUCCUGGGCCGCGGCUCCGGGCUCGGGCUCGGGCUCGUCUCCUAUGUUCCCCGAUGCCGGCACCUGGGCUCCGGAUUCCACCCGAGCUGUGGGUGCGGCCCCAGCCCCGGGUCCUGCGCUCCCCCGGCGCCAGGUCUGGGCUCCGCGCUCCUCCGGAUGCGUCUCCUGCGCUCCGCGGGACCCAGCUCCAGGACUCGGGCGCGUCUCCUGUGCUUCCCGGCGCCAGUGCUUGGCUUCCAGUUCCAUCUCGGGCUCCGCCUGCUGCGUUCCGGGGAUAAACUGGCUGAGAAGGGAACCAACUGGGUGAAGAUGAAGUAUAGAGGUCCUGAGGGGGCCCCAGCUGUCAGCACAGUCCCCUUGCCCCAUCACGAGUCCAUUUCCUUCCUGGUUAACUCUAACUGGAAGGUGCCCGACGCCCACCUUGGAAGACGGUGCUCAUUGUAUACUUGAGGAUCCUGGGAGGGAUGGAGACCCUCCCAGGCCCCCCCAAGUCCUCUCACAGAAGUGUCCUGGGAGCGGAGCCCUUCGGAAAAGCCGCAGUUGGGCCUCUCGGCUCCGGACCUGUGCUUUGCUUUGCUUGGAGAGGGCGACAGCUUCUCAUAGCGCCAAUAAAGAAUUAUCUAAGGGCAGGGCGCCACUGCUUGGUGUUUGUGCUCGACAGCCCACGUUUGAACAAGUUGCAUCCUGGGGGUGGGCGUCUCCUUGGCUGCUGAGGCCUCUUGGGCUCCCUGGGUAGGAAGCUGGCAAGGUCCAGGGCUCAGGAUGCUCUUACCUGCCAGGGAUCCUGAGGGAGGUGACUGUGGGAGGGGAAAGGCCCUGAGCACUAGUGCUUUCCCGGCCUGAGGGCUAGAGACCAACGGUGCCCCUGGUGGCCCCUAAAGGGGCCUGAGAAGUUAGAAAAAACGGACCGUGGGAGUGCUGGGCUCCAUGGCCACUGAGGUCGCUACCAGGGGUCCACCCCUGACCCCAGCAGUCAUUUGGCCUCCCCUGGGCAGAGCAUUCCGGCU